This 432-nucleotide ribosomal RNA is filed under the name uncultured bacterium. RNAcentral's name for it is "partial 16S ribosomal RNA". It matches the Rfam family "Bacterial small subunit ribosomal RNA", at positions 29 to 506 of the family's 1533-position model. The record is from RNAcentral.
AACGAACGCUGGCGGCAGGCCUAACACAUGCAAGUCGAGCGCGCCCUUCGGGGUGAGCGGCGGACGGGUGAGUAACGCGUGGGAACGUGCCCUUCUCUGCGGAAUAGCCUCGGGAAACUGAGAGUAAUACCGCAUACGCCCUGUGGGGGGAAGAUUUAUCGGAGAAGGAUCGGCCCGCGUUGUAUUAGGUAGUUGGUGGGGUAAUGGCCCACCAAGCCGACGAUCCAUAGCUGGGUUGAGAGGAUGAUCAGCCACACUGGGACUGAGACACGGCCCAGACUCCUACGGGAGGCAGCAGUGGGGAACCUUAGACACUGGGGGCAACCCUGAUCUCGCCAUGCCGCGUGAGUGAUGAAGGCCUUAGGGUUGUAAAGCUCUUUCAGCCGGGAAGAUAAUGACGGUACCAGCAGAAGAAGCCCCGGCUACCUCCGU